This 301-nucleotide ribosomal RNA is filed under the name uncultured bacterium. RNAcentral's name for it is "partial 16S ribosomal RNA". It matches the Rfam family "Bacterial small subunit ribosomal RNA", at positions 509 to 807 of the family's 1533-position model. The record is from RNAcentral.
CAGUAGCCGCGGGAAAACCGAGGGUGCAAGCGUUAAUCGGAAUUACUGGGCGUAAAGCGCGCGUAGGUGGUUUGUUAAGUUGAAUGUGAAAUCCCCGGGCUCAACCUGGGAACUGCAUCCAAAACUGGCAAGCUAGAGUAGGGCAGAGGGUGGUGGAAUUUCCUGUGUAGCGGUGAAAUGCGUAGAUAUAGGAAGGAACACCAGUGGCGAAGGCGACCACCUGGACUAAUACUGACACUGAGGUGCGAAAGCGUGGGGAGCAAACAGGAUUAGAUACCCGCGUAGUCCCUGUCUCUUAUAC